RNAcentral lists this ribosomal RNA (390 nucleotides) under uncultured bacterium. Its description in RNAcentral is "bacterial SSU rRNA". It matches the Rfam family "Bacterial small subunit ribosomal RNA", at positions 28 to 417 of the family's 1533-position model. The record is from RNAcentral.
GACGAACGCUGGCGGCGUGCUUAACACAUGCAAGUCGAGCGGUAAGGCCCUUUCGGGGGUACACGAGCGGCGAACGGGUGAGUAACACGUGGGUGACCUGCCCUCAGCUCUGGGAUAAGCCCGGGGAAACUGGGGUCUAAUACUGGAUAUGACUCCACGGUGCAUGCUGUGGGGUGGAAAGCCUUGUGCGGCUGAGGAUGGGCCCGCGGCCUAUCAGCUUGUUGGUGGGGUGANGGCCUACCAAGGCGACGACGGGUAGCCGGCCUGAGAGGGCGACCGGCCACACUGGGACUGAGACACGGCCCAGACUCCUACGGGAGGCAGCAGUGGGGAAUCUUGCGCAAUGGGCGAAAGCCUGACGCAGCGACGCCGCGUGAGGGAUGACGGCCU